RNAcentral lists this long non-coding RNA (1354 nucleotides) under Homo sapiens (human). RNAcentral's name for it is "Novel transcript". The record is from RNAcentral. Lineage: Eukaryota; Metazoa; Chordata; Mammalia; Primates; Hominidae.
ACACACGGAGGGGAGCCCUGGCUUUCAGACCCACCCGGGCUGCCCCAGAAAGGCUGACCGGGGUCGCCAGGGCCCCAGCCACUUGAACACCAAGAAAACAGCUUCAAACCGCCCACUAUACUCUGCUGAGGAGCGGCAGCAGCACAUUUUGCAAAAUUUUCCUUCCUGUGCCUCACUGAGAUUUUUCUGCCUGGGUUCCCCAAAAGCCCAAAAGAAGUGAACUCCAUGGCUUCAUUCCAUUAAGGAAAUCAAGAAGGACUAGAGAAAGGAAAGGCAACCUAUGCAUCAUAAAUUCCAACUCUGAGAAGGAGAGGUAGAAAAGGAGACCAGAAAGCAAAGUGCUAAGAGAGGAGACCAUCUGGCUCACUGUUGGACAGCCUGGAUGCUACAGUGAGAAAUAUCAGCUGGUGACCAUGCAAACUGAAGCCUAUUUUUCUCCGUUCCAGAAUUAUUCAAUACCAGCUACUUAUCUGUAACCAAGCAGUAGCACCCUCUACUUUUAUUGUUCGUUUGUCUAAUCACCCAUUCUUUCAGCAAAUAUGUAUUAAGUUCUGUCUAUGUACUAGACAUUGGAGAUAAAAAAUAUUAAUGAAACAGAGUAUUUGCCCUCAGAAGGCUCACCAACAAGUGACAAAACAGUAGGUGCCCAGGACACAAUUAAUGAGUGAUGACUAGACGCAAAUGUAAACAAAUGGUAACAUGAGGCUGGACUUCCAGGAAGCUAAGCAAGCAGGAAACAUGGGCCCAGAAGACAGCUUACUGAAGAGGGACCAUGGAAAAGUUUAGCAAUGCUACCAACUUAGAAUUAUUGAUCAAUAAUUUUGUUAGACAAGACGAAACCAUAGAAAUAGGUAAUAUUGUGUUAUUUUGUUAAUUUUUGCUUUUUCCUAGCUUCUAUAAUCAUGGAAGAACUUGAGCAUGAUUGUCUUUUCACAUAAAGGGGGGAAAGGGGGGUGUAUGUCUUGAAUGAUGUGUGGUUCACAUUGUGGCCGAUCCCUACACCAAGUGCCCAGGAGUGGAGUCAUAUAACUCACAGGCAAAAUGCCAGUGGGUCGAGAGUAUAAGAAAUCUAACAGUGCCCAUUUCCUACAGAGCAGCAAAUGGCAUUUCAGAGCAAUUUUCAUGGUGUCAUCUUUUCCAAGGUUUAUGUACACAGGGAAGAUGGAGGGAACUUCUAGAUAUAUUUGCAGGCAUAUGAAAAAGACAGAAACAAGGGUGGCUGGCACUCAAAGCAAAAGCAAGUUGAUUCUGUUGUGUAACAAUGUGAAACUACUUAAUGUGAAUGCACUUAAUGCCCUAAAAUGUGCACUUAACAAUGGUUAAACAGGUGAUUAAAAUGGUAAAUUUUAUCUCA